RNAcentral lists this ribosomal RNA (439 nucleotides) under uncultured bacterium. RNAcentral describes it as "partial 16S ribosomal RNA". It matches the Rfam family "Bacterial small subunit ribosomal RNA", at positions 339 to 795 of the family's 1533-position model. The record is from RNAcentral.
CUACGGGCGGCUGCAGUGAGGAAUAUUGCACAAUGGAGGAAACUCUGAUGCAGCAACGCCGCGUGGAGGAUGACGCAUUUCGGUGUGUAAACUCCUUUUAUAUGUCAAGAAAAUGACGGUAGCAUAUGAAUAAGCUCCGGCUAACUCCGUGCCAGCAGCCGCGGUAAUACGGAGGGAGCAAGCGUUACUCGGAAUCACUGGGCGUAAAGGACGCGUAGGCGGGUUGGAAAGUCAGGUGUGAAAUCCUACAGCUUAACUGUAGAACUGCACUUGAAACUUCUAAUCUAGAGUAUGGGAGGGGGAGAUGGAAUUAGUGGUGUAGGGGUAAAAUCCGUAGAUAUCACUAGGAAUACCUAAAGCGAAGGCGAUCUCCUGGAACAUUACUGACGCUAAGGCGUGAAAGCGUGGGGAGCAAACAGGAUUAGAUACCCUUGUAGUC